GACGAACGCUGGCGGCGUGCCUAAUACAUGCAAGUAGAACGCUGAAGAGAGGAGCUUGCUCUUCUUGGAUGAGUUGCGAACGGGUGAGUAACGCGUAGGUAACCUGCCUUGUAGCGGGGGAUAACUAUUGGAAACGAUAGCUAAUACCGCAUAACAAUGGAUGACACAUGUCAUUUAUUUGAAAGGGGCAAUUGCUCCACUACAAGAUGGACCUGCGUUGUAUUAGCUAGUAGGUGAGGUAAUGGCUCACCUAGGCGACGAUACAUAGCCGACCUGAGAGGGUGAUAGGCCACACUGGGACUGAGACACGGCCCAGACUCCUACGGGAGGCAGCAGUAGGGAAUCUUCGGCAAUGGGGGCAACCCUGACCGAGCAACGCCGCGUGAGUGAAGAAGGUUUUCGGAUCGUAAAGCUCUGUUGUAAGUCAAGAACGGGUGUGAGAGUGGAAAGUUCACACUGUGACGGUAGCUGACCAGAAAGGGACGGCCAACUACGUG
RNAcentral lists this ribosomal RNA (497 nucleotides) under uncultured bacterium. RNAcentral's name for it is "partial 16S ribosomal RNA". It matches the Rfam family "Bacterial small subunit ribosomal RNA", at positions 28 to 507 of the family's 1533-position model. The record is from RNAcentral.